GGCACGGGGUGGAGGGGGGCCGAGCUGGCGGAGCUGUAAGGCUAGGGUGGAUGAAUGGGAGGCUGCUUGAGGCAGGGCUUGAUGGGGUGCUGAGGGCUGGGACUGCGUGAGGGCGAUGGAGCUUGUGGUGUUGAGGGCUGGGGUGGGCCGUUGGGCUGGAAGGUGUUGGCAGCCUUCAUCAGAACAGGUCCGGAGUGGUGUCAGGACUCGUGUGGAAUGAAGGAACAGGGAGGUGACUUGUGGCACAGCAGCAGCUUCGACCUAUUUCUUUGGGGGUGGGGAGCAGUUUCCUGUCAGCAUCUUCUGCUGUCCCCACCUGGGACCCGUGUGUUCUGUCUAGUAGUGUAGGGCUGGUGAGCCUCUUGGCCUUGGGGAGGCUGUAGGGCAGCUGAUUUGCAUCUGCAUCUUUGGCUGGGACAGUGCAGCCCCUGGGGAGCCACUGAGCGUUACUGACAGAGAUGCACUAGAGCCAUGAAGGCCCUUGUCUGAGCGCAGUCCAGCUUGGGAGAGUCACCUCAUGUGAAUGCCCGUAUCUGCAACCAUGCACUUGCUGCAUCUGAGUAGUGCUGUGCACCUUUGUGCGUGGACAAAGUCUAGAGAAGCAAAGCACAGCACUAUUGUUUGUGGGGUGGAGCCUGGCUCUGCAAGCAGCACAGCCUAAGCUGCUCUGGGAAGGGACUCCCCAGUGAGGCUUUUUUGUUUGUCACCUUUUCCACAAGUGGCUUUUGAAGUGUUCUGCCUUUUGUGUGCAGACCUUAGAGAAAGGCCUUUUCCUCCAUUUUCUCCUCUUGGUUGACUUCUUGCUCUUUUAUUUCAUACAAUAACCUCCUAGGCUGUGUUGCCUUGUGGGAACACCAAGCUGCUCUCUGCUGUCAGCCUCUUUAUUCUUCUUGAAUGUGAUCGUUUAGUGCAACAAGUAUCCCCGAAGCACUGGCACCACACUGGGAGGAGAGAGCUCUUGGGCACUGCAGCUGCAUCCAUUAGAAAAAACUUAACUAUAUGGAGGUUAAUAGUGUGUGUCAAAAACACUCAUUCACCACAAGCUCGUAUGGAGGCAUUCUGCUGGUGUGAGCCUGUGUGCGUGUCCUUGCAUCAGUACAAGAGCAGCAGCAGUAAGUGGAGGCUGCAGCCACCAGGAGAUUGAAUGCACCUCAAAGCCCUGACUCAGUGCAGCUUGAGCUGAGGUUGCUCGCUCACUUCCAAUCCAUGGAGUUUCCAUUUUGCUGUACAGCAAAGCUUUUAACUGUCUCAGCGUGCUUGCCUGGCAUACCAAUCCUUCCUGGAUCAAUUCCUCUUGCUGUGAGCAUGGCCAAUGACAUUCUGCUUCUGCCUCUUGUUCUACAGGCUGUCCUUUCUUUUGUUUGGAUAGAGGACCAGCUAGGUGCUCUUUCUGGACAAGUGUUGUCCCCUCAGUAUGUUGCUGGAGAGGAGGAAGUAGUUCACUUCUGCAUUUUCUUCUGUGUAUGUGCUGUCCAGGCAAGAACCCGACAUAGAUGAAGUUAGGGUUCCGGGGUCAGGACGUGCACUGAGCGUGGAGGCAGGAGGGGAUUUGCUGCAUUUCACUGUCUUUGCAUUUGACUGUCCACCCAAGGUGCGUCCUGGGGAUGGACUCGUGGUGGUCAGAGCAAGGACGCACCAUAAGGGAUUCCGUGAUUGAGAGGAGAAAGUCUGGAUGCUGAGAGCUGGCCCUGAGUUAUCUGCUCUGAAACUUGAAUUGGGGAGAUGUGAUGCACAAUUUAUCUAGACUUGCUCCAUGAUGUGAGCAGCAGCACUUUCCUCUCCUGCUGUGACUGUGCCAUGGAUCCAGCAGCUCCCUGCAGAGCUUCCCCAGACCUUCAGGUGGGAGUGCUUCACAUUUCCCCAUAGUGUGUAGAGCUGGGUGGCCCUUAGAAGUCAGAGCCAUUUCUAAAUGUAAUGUUUGUGCUCAGAGCCCAUGGAAAUCUCAUCAUCUUGGACAGCCACCGCUAGACAUCAAGGGAGCUUGGUAAUGGAUUUCUUAAGACUGUAAUUUCUUGUUUUAAAUCAACUUCCUUAAGCCAACCACAUUUUUAAAUAAUGUCCAAAAGCUACCGGAACCUGCUGAAAUACCUCUAGUGAAGAAUUGACUGCUGAGAGCUUAGACUGUCAAAGUGCUGAUGUGGGGGAAUACCUGGUCAGAACCUGAGAGCAGAUGUGUUAGAGGCAGGCAGCUUGUUACUUGAGGUGGGCUUCUGCAGGUGUCAAAAGAAUAAGCUCUUCUGUAAGUUUUUGACUAAUUCUCUUUGACUUGACUAAUUGCCUGGAAGCUGGAAGAAACAGACCUGGGCUGGAAGCUCAGGUGUUGGGAGGUGAGCUCUGCCAGUUGGAAGAUCUUGUUUCUCUUAUUUGUCUCCUUUUGCUAACUGCACAGAUAGAAA
This is a long non-coding RNA of Tympanuchus pallidicinctus (lesser prairie-chicken), 2396 nucleotides long. RefSeq lists it as uncharacterized. The transcript has 2 exons. The record is from RefSeq and is a predicted model, not a curated record. NCBI's taxonomy places the organism in Eukaryota, Metazoa, Chordata, Aves, Galliformes, Phasianidae.